Molecule: ribosomal RNA, 497 nt
Filed under: uncultured bacterium
Lineage: Bacteria
Description: partial 16S ribosomal RNA
Rfam family: Bacterial small subunit ribosomal RNA
Source: RNAcentral
GAUGAACGCUGGCGGCGUGCCUAAUACAUGCAAGUCGAGCGGACGGACGAGAAGCUUGCUUCUCUGCAGUUAUCGUCGGACGGGUGAGUCACACGUGGAUAACCUACCUAUAAGCCUAAGAUACCGUCAGGGAACCGGAGCUCACACCCGACCAUAUUUUGCACCACAUGGUUCUCAAGUCCACCCCCGUCUUGCCGACCCUUAUACAUACAACCGCGCUGCAUUAGCUAGUUGGUAGGGUAACGGCUUACCAAGGCCACGAUGCAAAGCAGACCUGAGAGGGUGAUCGGGCACACUGGAACUGAGACACGGUCCAGACUCCUACGGGAGGCAGCAGUAGGGAAUCUUCGGCAAUGGGCGAAAGCCUGACGGAGCAACGCCGCGGGAGUGAUGAAGGUCUUCGGAUCGUAAAACUCUGUUAUUAGGGAAGAAGAGAUGUGUAAGUAACUGUGCACAUCUUGACGGUACCUAAUCAGAAAGCAACGGCUAACUUCGUG